This 464-nucleotide ribosomal RNA is filed under the name Scomberomorus regalis (cero). Its description in RNAcentral is "partial 16S ribosomal RNA". It matches the Rfam family "Bacterial large subunit ribosomal RNA", at positions 1993 to 2634 of the family's 2925-position model. The record is from RNAcentral. Lineage: Eukaryota; Metazoa; Chordata; Actinopteri; Scombriformes; Scombridae.
UGAAUGGCAUAACGAGGGCUUAACUGUCUCCUUUUUCAAGUCAGUGAAAUUGAUCUCCCCGUGCAGAAGCGGGGAUAUAACUAUAAGACGAGAAGACCCUAUGGAGCUUUUUGGUUGGGGCGACCACGGGGCCCCGACCAAGAGCUCUAAUAAACAGAUUCUGACCAGAUCCGGGAUCAACGGACCGAGUUACCCUAGGGAUAACAGCGCAAUCCCCUUUUAGAGCCCAKAUCGACAAGGGGGUUUUACGAACCUUCGAGCYUAGCCGUAAACAUUGAUAGAUCUAUCCGCCCGGGUACUACGAGCAUCAGCUUGAAACCCAAAGGACUUGGCGGUACUUUAGAUCCCCCUAGAGGAGCCUGUUCUAUAACCGAUAACCCCCGUUCAACCUCACCCUCCCUUGCCCGCCUAUAUACCGCCGUCGUAAGCUUACCCUGUGAAGGCCUAAUAGUAAGCAAAAUUGG